Molecule: ribosomal RNA, 1529 nt
Filed under: Neisseria gonorrhoeae
Lineage: Bacteria; Pseudomonadati; Pseudomonadota; Betaproteobacteria; Neisseriales; Neisseriaceae
Description: bacterial SSU rRNA
Rfam family: Bacterial small subunit ribosomal RNA
Source: RNAcentral
AGAGUUUGAUCCUGGCUCAGAUUGAACGCUGGCGGCAUGCUUUACACAUGCAAGUCGGACGGCAGCACAGGGAAGCUUGCUUCUCGGGUGGCGAGUGGCGAACGGGUGAGUAACAUAUCGGAACGUACCGGGUAGCGGGGGAUAACUGAUCGAAAGAUCAGCUAAUACCGCAUACGUCUUGAGAGGGAAAGCAGGGGACCUUCGGGCCUUGCGCUAUCCGAGCGGCCGAUAUCUGAUUAGCUGGUUGGCGGGGUAAAGGCCCACCAAGGCGACGAUCAGUAGCGGGUCUGAGAGGAUGAUCCGCCACACUGGGACUGAGACACGGCCCAGACUCCUACGGGAGGCAGCAGUGGGGAAUUUUGGACAAUGGGCGCAAGCCUGAUCCAGCCAUGCCGCGUGUCUGAAGAAGGCCUUCGGGUUGUAAAGGACUUUUGUCAGGGAAGAAAAGGCUGUUGCCAAUAUCGGCGGCCGAUGACGGUACCUGAAGAAUAAGCACCGGCUAACUACGUGCCAGCAGCCGCGGUAAUACGUAGGGUGCGAGCGUUAAUCGGAAUUACUGGGCGUAAAGCGGGCGCAGACGGUUACUUAAGCAGGAUGUGAAAUCCCCGGGCUCAACCCGGGAACUGCGUUCUGAACUGGGUGACUCGAGUGUGUCAGAGGGAGGUGGAAUUCCACGUGUAGCAGUGAAAUGCGUAGAGAUGUGGAGGAAUACCGAUGGCGAAGGCAGCCUCCUGGGAUAACACUGACGUUCAUGUCCGAAAGCGUGGGUAGCAAACAGGAUUAGAUACCCUGGUAGUCCACGCCCUAAACGAUGUCAAUUAGCUGUUGGGCAACUUGAUUGCUUGGUAGCGUAGCUAACGCGUGAAAUUGACCGCCUGGGGAGUACGGUCGCAAGAUUAAAACUCAAAGGAAUUGACGGGGACCCGCACAAGCGGUGGAUGAUGUGGAUUAAUUCGAUGCAACGCGAAGAACCUUACCUGGUUUUGACAUGUGCGGAAUCCUCCGGAGACGGAGGAGUGCCUUCGGGAGCCGUAACACAGGUGCUGCAUGGCUGUCGUCAGCUCGUGUCGUGAGAUGUUGGGUUAAGUCCCGCAACGAGCGCAACCCUUGUCAUUAGUUGCCAUCAUUCGGUUGGGCACUCUAAUGAGACUGCCGGUGACAAGCCGGAGGAAGGUGGGGAUGACGUCAAGUCCUCAUGGCCCUUAUGACCAGGGCUUCACACGUCAUACAAUGGUCGGUACAGAGGGUAGCCAAGCCGCGAGGCGGAGCCAAUCUCACAAAACCGAUCGUAGUCCGGAUUGCACUCUGCAACUCGAGUGCAUGAAGUCGGAAUCGCUAGUAAUCGCAGGUCAGCAUACUGCGGUGAAUACGUUCCCGGGUCUUGUACACACCGCCCGUCACACCAUGGGAGUGGGGGAUACCAGAAGUAGGUAGGGUAACCGCAAGGAGCCCGCUUACCACGGUAUGCUUCAUGACUGGGGUGAAGUCGUAACAAGGUAGCCGUAGGGGAACCUGCGGCUGGAUCACCU